RNAcentral lists this long non-coding RNA (1308 nucleotides) under Lynx pardinus (Iberian lynx). The record is from RNAcentral. Lineage: Eukaryota; Metazoa; Chordata; Mammalia; Carnivora; Felidae.
CCGGGGUGGACGGAAUCCUCCUUUCGACUGUUCUAUGGAUGUGACCUUCAGUCCCGGGUAAGGGAGCCCAGGCUCUCGAAGGGGAACCUGCCAGUCUCCGCCAGACCGAGUCUUGUAACCAAGCAGGAAGCGGGCCCGGCGAGAGGUUGAGAAUUCGUCUGAGAACUUUGCGCCAACCGUCGCUGCCGCCUGAAAGGCCAGACCUUGACUUUAGGAGUGCUGGCAGCUGGGUUGGGCACUCCAGCCGUUCCAAGGAAGGAUAGACUGUGACUUCAGAGGUAAUUUCCACAUCCUGCUAUGUGUUUUCAGGGUCCAGGCAGCCCGAGGAAACAAAGGGAAGAGGGAAGGACGAUGGAUGUGAACACGUUCCCAGGCGCGUGGCCUCAGCUCCGAAGUGGGUCAAGGAGGGGCCACCCCCUGGCAUCCCCUGCAAAGGGGUACGUCCCCUUCACUGUUAGCGUCAGCCACAGACUUGCCGGCCCUACACACAAGGCCAGAAAUGAUCACUUUGGCUCCUGGCCAUUAAAAGUAUUUUGUGUCUGUUUAACAUUUCAGAAGAGAUUUAGAAUCAACUAGGGUGGGAAACUAGGUAAGAGAGAGAAACCUUUUGCUUUCUGUGUGAACACCCAAAUACGAAGAUAUGGUUUGUACUGGGUGCAAGUGCCCAACUCCAAGGGCCAAAUUAAAUUCAGAAUAAAAUUCUUGGGUGUUGAAAGUCUACGCAAUCAGUACUGAACAUUGAGGAUGCAAAGGUGAAUUGGACAAUGACUUUUUUUACAGGAAGUUUGCAGUUUGUAAGGAGAAAAGACAGGACCAGAACACAACUUGUGGAGAGAGCAAGAAUAUAGUUUUGGCGUGUUUCAAGAAGAGUGAAUGCAAUAAGUAAUCUGCUUCGACAAGAAAAUAGUGCUCCUGUAGAAGGGUAUGGUGAAGAGAUAAACCCAAAGGAUGUGGUUAAAGACAUUAUGAAAGGCCUUAAGUGCUCAGCUAGUUUUGAGCAUAAUUUUUGAACAGAGGAGGAACCUUGGGAAAUAUGAAUUUGAGGUGUCAGAGAGGUAACCAUCCGCAGAGGAAAAAUUAUUACCUGUCAUGAUACACAAAAAAUAAACUCCAUAUAGAUAAGAAUGUGAAUGUGAAAAGCAAAAUAUACUUCGAUAAGAAAAUAUAGGAGCAUAUGUUCAUGACUUUGAUGGUCAGAAGGAUUUUAUAAACCAUAAAAGAAUGCAAAUGUUAAUGGAGCAAAAUAAUAGAUUUGACAAUGCUAUAAUUUUGAAACUUUUAUGUGACUUUAAGAAAGUUAAAGGGGCG